CACUCUCACCUUUGCUUUUUGCAAUAUUUAUUGAACCUCUCGCAUCAGCUGUUCGUCAGAACUCUGUUAUUAGAGGAAUCCACUCAUCCAUUUCAGAACACAAAAUUAAUCUUUAUGCGGAUGACAUUUUACUCUAUUUAGAAGAACCCCAAUCUUCAUUAGAAGAAUUAUUUAAACUAAUAAACAGCUUCUCUAAACUAUCAGACUAUUCCAUUAACUGGUCAAAAUCAUCAAUCCUUCCUUUAACGAAAAAUUCAUGGAACCCAGCAACCCAAAACCCACAAUACCCCUCCCCCACAAAUAUAAUUAAAUAUCUAGGCUUAAAUAUAUCACCAAACCUAAAUGAAUUAAUUAAACUGAAUCUAGACCCUCUGUUGGAUAAAGUCACAGAAGACCUGCGGAGAUGGAACAAUCUCCCCAUCUCACUCCUUGGCAGAAUAGCCUCAGUUAAAAUGAAAAUCUUACCUAAAAUAAACUAUCUGUUCUCUAUGAUCCCACUGAAACCACCAACGCAAUGGUUCAAAAGAUUAGAUUCUGCAAUUACAAAAUUCUAUGCUAAGAAUAAAAAACCCAAAAUAAGCCUUUCAACUCUUCAAAAAAAUAAAAGCGAGGGAGGGUUGGAAGCCCCUAAUUUCACGCAUUAUUACCUAGCAAACCAAAUUCUAUAUUUAACAGAAUGGUUAAAACCAAAAGAAUACCACAACACCUGGCUAGAAAUAGAACAGCUAGACUGCAAACAUAUUAAACUCUCUGAUCUCCCUUUUAUCACUGUGACCCUGAAACGUCAUAACUGCUUUAAAAACCCACUGAUUGCCUCCACCCUGACUGCGUGGUGGAAAGCCCUGGACAUAACAAAUGUUCAAUUAAAAACUAACAUGCUGUCUCCAAUCUGGCACAACCCUGACUUUAGAAACAGAAAAACACCACUCUAUCUAAAAACAUGGGAAGAUAGCGGAAUUAUUCAUCUCCAAGACCUCUUCGAAAAUGAUAAGCUCAGGACAUAUAACAAUCUAACCCAAGCAUUCAAUAUAAAUAAAAGUAACUUUCUACAGUACUUACAAGUAACAGAGACAAUAAAGAAAACUACUCCACUAGACUUAACUACUUUACAACCUCCAGAACUGGCUAUAUAUAUGAAAAAAAUCUCAACAAAAUCAAAAAAACUCUCAAAAAUAUACAGAGCGCUCUCGAACACUAACUGUAAUUACUUACCAAUCGCGAAGUGGGAGGCUGAACUCUCAAUCACCCCGAGCACUGAUUUCUGGACAGAAAUUUGUUGUAAUACUUUUAAGAUGACAAAAAACACAAACCUUCAGCUAAUUCAAUACAAGGUCCUCCACAGAUCCCACAUUACCCAAC
This 1359-nucleotide long non-coding RNA is filed under the name Gouania willdenowi (blunt-snouted clingfish). RNAcentral describes it as "lncRNA (ENSGWIG00000012420.1)". The record is from RNAcentral. Lineage: Eukaryota; Metazoa; Chordata; Actinopteri; Blenniiformes; Gobiesocidae.